CGCUUGUUGUGUGUGACACGUGUGAAAAAGUUUGCUGCUCGCUUUUAAAGCCACAGUUAUGGGAUUUCUGCACAUGGAGACCAUGUUAAAGACAUUCAGUGUCAAAGUACACUCCUGAAACUGAAAGGCAAGAUGAGAGUCAAACUAAGGUUUUUUAUUUUAAUAAGAAAUAAGCAAUAAUGUUAACAUGACUCGUCUUUGUUUUUGAUAUAUUUUGCAGUGGUCAUCAUGAAGAUCUUAAUGAUUUUGGGAGCCCUGUUAGUGUCGAUCCUUCAACAUGUAACAUCGUCUUUAUUGUGACCACAGUCACAAUUUACUCAUUGUCCUAAAUACACACACAGACAUAAAGCUUAAGGUUCAACCAGAGUUCAGUAGCCCCAAUGCUGCUUUAAUGGGAGUGCUAAGGGGGAGAGAGGGAGACAGAGAAGAAGGGCCAGUGUGUGUUUUCAGCUCUCCACCCAGACUCCUCAACUGCAGAAAGUUAUGACUGCGCAAAGUAGAGCAUUUAUGGUGACCGACCACUUUUAUCACCGCUUACUCGCCGCUGCAAAUUCACGCGUUGUCACCAGAUAGCUGUGAAAGACGGGCGGCAAAAUAACAUAAAACGAUGGGAUUUCUGCACAUGGAGACCAUGUUGAAGAUAUCCAGUGUCAAAGUACACUCCUGAAACUGAAAGGCAAGAGUGGUCAUCAUAAAGAUCUCAACAAGGUUGUCACGCCUCGUCUGUUGGGGGUCAGAGAUGAAACACAGGAAUUAUGGGUAAGUUGGUGACCUGAACACCACAUGGUAACAGAAGCCACUGUUUUUAAAAACCAUUUUCUGGCCCCUGGGAAAAUGUGCACAGACAUGAACCGACACAUUGACACUUUUUCCCCUGUCCUCACACCUCUUGUCAAUACCACUUAUCACUUAUAAGUAAUCAAUAACUGGACUCAUCAAUUAUGUAUUACCUAUAGCUUCCUGUCUGCUGACACUGCAAAAACCCAAAACGUACGUGUGUGUGUGUGUGUGUUUGUGUAAUAGAGGACAAAAGAAUAUUACAUACAAAGCAUUCUUAGUGGAGCAGAGAUGAAUCUCUUGUAUCUUUGCCAGUGCAUUUCUAAACGCAUUCACCUUCACUGUUUUUAUGUUCCUCCAGGGACCUGGCUUAAUUGAAGAAUAUGAGCUUGUGUAUAUGAGUGUCCACUGUGUGUGUGUGUGUGUGUGUGUAAUCUAAGCCUAGUCCUGACCUGCCAUGGUUCUGAAUCACUCAGGCUAGUCGCCCAGGCCAGUCUCAUGUUUGAAUGACAUCUCUCCCCAUUGUUCUUCAUCUAUCUCUCUCUCUCUCUCUCUCCCCCCCCCUCCAUCGAUCGAUCUAUCUAUUUCUGUCUGUCGAUAACUGUCUGUCUUUCCACUGCAAGUACCGAGGCCUUUUAGUAACAUAAACCUUUUCUAUGAACUGUACUUCUUUAUAAUGGUGAUUUGUGUUCCCACCGUAGUAAAAGUACCAGCAACAUUUUGCAAAUUAGCCCUUUAGCAGGGAGGGGCUUACAGGAAGGACUCCAAUGAUUAGCUGUAAAACAACACUGGCACCAGCAGACUACAGGCCUUUUUAACAUUAGACCGGUCUGGAUGACAGUCUAGGCUGUGGGCUGCAGACCAAUACUGGUUCAUGUACUUGGUCAUGAAGCCAGGAUUAUGAUUGUACUAUCAUGAUAUGUUAUUGUUAUACUAUUUAAUGAGCCCAGUCCAUACCACGUUGAUUGACCAUCACUGGUCUGUAGACCUCGUGUUGAACCCACCCAACCCUCCGUCCAUCCACCAACGGCCAUGAUCUGUCCAGGUCGCUGAGGCGAUGAACACAAUAUCUAAUAAACUGCACAGAGCGCGAUAAAAUAUUGAAACCCUAAGUGACAACAGUAGAAAAGCGCUCCACAAACACACAACUCUCCUCGGCUCCUCUGUCUAAAAAUAUCGUUCUCACACAAACGGAUUCACGUGUGAACACCCACACCUCAACAAUCCCCCCCGUGCUUUUAUUACAGGCCAGGAAUGCACAUGUGUCCCGAUUACUGCAGGAGUUGUCUGGUUACACAGACAUGCUGUCUUAUUGAUUUUCAGCACCAAACUGUGGGCUUUACAUUAUGAGAGGAGAAAGACGAGGAGGAGGGCGAGGAGCAGCUGAGCGGGAGCCGUGGAUCUGUAGACGUCUCCGUGUGAAUGCAUGCUAAGACAAAACCAAGAAGAACAUGUAGAAGAAAAAAAAUUCAAUAUCUUUGUCUCUACAUGCCCUUCUGUGCCAGGCUGUUUUUCUUUUCCUCACUCCAGUUUCCUCCCUCUGGGGUGUCUGUCUCUGACCGUCUUCCCCUCUUUUUCCAUCUCCUUCUCAGUUUGUUUAUGUCUCUCUUUCUCUCUGAGCUUCAGCUGGGCUGCAAAGAAACUGUGAUCCACCUGCCAAGAAUAAAACAAGGCUGCCAACAACCAGACCGGCACACAAAAGUACUUAAACUCUCGCCACCCUCCCCCACGCCUUCCCUCCCUCUCACACACACACAGAGAGAGAAAUGGACAAACACAGACACAGCACGAGGACGACUAACACAAGGACACACCUGAUGAGUUAAUUUGAUCUUUUUAAACUCAUCCUACACUGUUUAUUAUUCAUUUUCUUUUUUUUUAAUUAAUUUCGAACACAUGCUUCAGACUUUGUUCAAAAGUCCUGACAUCGCUUAUGUUUAUGUAACAUUCAAAGAGGACUCAUCAACAAAUACUUGAAAAAUAAAAGCGGGG
Molecule: long non-coding RNA, 2769 nt
Organism: Cynoglossus semilaevis (tongue sole)
Lineage: Eukaryota; Metazoa; Chordata; Actinopteri; Pleuronectiformes; Cynoglossidae
Exons: 7
Source: RefSeq, a predicted model, not a curated record